GAUAGGUGUGUUCAGAUAUUCCAGCCUGUGAUGCUUUGCUUUAACUAUAUCUUAGUAUCGUAGCCCGGCUUAGGGAAAGCUUAUUUUGAGAUCAUUGGGAAUCUUCAGGUUAUAAAUUAGUGAAUACUUAAGACAUAGGUAUGGGGGGGUUACAGUUAAUGUUAGAGUUAUGCUUGAAUUAAGUAUUUAUAUUAAAACUGCUCACAUUUUAGGAACUAGGAUGAAACUUGAAAGGGGAGGAGGGUGAACAGUAUGGUAAAAAACAUUUAGAGAAAUUCAGUAAAUUCUCUUUAAUUGUUAGAAACUAGAGUUUUGAACAAAUCAAGAUAAAAGAAGGCUAAUGAAAAGUAUUAAAGAUCAGAAAAUUAAAAUUGAAUGGGGGAAAAAAUUGAACAGAAGAUUGGUCAGAUAGAAGCACUUGAAUAUUUUUUUUAAGGCUAUUUUGAAUUGUUUUGGGGAAGAAUA
RNAcentral lists this long non-coding RNA (465 nucleotides) under Bos taurus (domestic cattle). Its description in RNAcentral is "long non-coding RNA NONBTAT019411". Lineage: Eukaryota; Metazoa; Chordata; Mammalia; Artiodactyla; Bovidae. The record is from RNAcentral.